Molecule: non-coding RNA, 73 nt
Organism: Potamilus streckersoni
Lineage: Eukaryota; Metazoa; Mollusca; Bivalvia; Unionida; Unionidae
Source: the annotation of a GenBank genome assembly
GCUCCGGUGGCCUAGUGGUUAGAGUGUCCACCUCGGAUGUGGGAGGUCGUGGGUUCGAUCCCUGUUUGAGUCA